ACGUGCGGAGGACAGAGUUUGUUUCCAUCGGCUUCCUGUGUCCGGCCUAAGGUUCGAGAGGGAGAGGCUACGUUGCCUCAUACCGAGGUAGGCCUAGGCCCACGGGCUACGUGACGUUCUUUAGUUUGCCCGAUCGCUGCUCAAUGGCUUGCCUGGAGUACUCGUGUAUAUACAUGUAUGUAUAUGUGUAUAUGUAUAUGGAUGGAUGGAUGGCCGUACAAGUAACCAGCCGAGUCAAACCUGCAGAGAACAAGCAAACCCCGACAGAAAGCCCUGACUCAGCAGCUUCCGCGCGGAAACCUGCUUACCUAACGCCUGCAGCACAAAAGCUGACGACGCCUGCCAAGACCGUGGGCAGCCAAGACCGCUCGCUGGCUGGGUGCGCUAGGCCGGAAGAGGCUAGCUCGAGCGUGUCCCACAGGGGGAUUCGUCACUGCCCGUGGCCAUUACGACGCCCGGCGGCCCAUACGCGGUUUGUGGUUUGGCAGACGCUGAUACCGAGGGGGAGAGAAGGGAGAGAGAGAGAGAGAAGGGAGAGUGAGAGAG
Molecule: small RNA, 546 nt
Filed under: Histoplasma ohiense
Lineage: Eukaryota; Fungi; Ascomycota; Eurotiomycetes; Onygenales; Ajellomycetaceae
Description: hypothetical lncRNA
Source: RNAcentral